AGCUAAUAAUGGAAGCAAUUUGUAACUUUCAGUAGCUCUCUAGGCCUGGGUACCGGAGGGAGGGAGGCGGGCAGAGGAGGGGAGAUGGGCACCCCCAGUCUUUCCAUCCUCCUCAUUCGUCUAGGGGCACCCGAAUCCCCUAUUCCUUAUUUCCCCUAUCACUCAGGCACUGGCAGGGUCCUUUGCCCACUCCUGUUGGCCGCUGCGGCUCCAAAGCGAGCUGGGCAGAUGUGCCUGAGACAGGUUUGACCAGGCAACUGAAAAGACAUCCCUAAGAGAAGACAAAGCAAAGGUAUGAAAGGAACACACGUCCCUGACUGACUAGGAGGAACAGAGCUGCCUGCUAUCCGGAACAACUUCCUCCCAGACUAAGUGAGAAAUAAACUUCUGUUUUCUAUA
Molecule: long non-coding RNA, 399 nt
Filed under: Homo sapiens (human)
Lineage: Eukaryota; Metazoa; Chordata; Mammalia; Primates; Hominidae
Description: HSALNT0352463
Source: RNAcentral